AAUGAAACAUGUCUAUUAAUUUUUUAACAGAUGUCCCAUGUAGAAGCAAUGAAGGUGAAAUUACACCAAUGGAGAUUCCAAAAUUUACAAACAAGGCAAGUUUUGAUCCUUUUGUAAGGACUAUAGACAACAAAACAUCAGCCAGAAGUAGCAAAGGACAAGAUAUAUACAAAACUGGAAACAUUUUACUUGAAGAGGAUAUAGAAUAUGAAGACCAAGAUCCUCCUUACCCAGCAUUUUCAAAAACUGCAGGAUAUCCCAGUAAUACCUCGGUCCCUGAUCCUAAUAUCAUCACAAAAAUGACGUCAGACAUAAAGAGUAAGUUUUUUAUGAUUGCACUACUGAUGUAAUGAACACUAACAAUGUUAGUCCACGAUCCUCCUCUCAACACAGCAAAGACUUUUGACACUCAGAAUAAGUUAGCACACAAUCCUGGCAUGGCAAUGAAAGCUUUAUACUCU
Molecule: long non-coding RNA, 461 nt
Filed under: Fukomys damarensis (Damara mole-rat)
Lineage: Eukaryota; Metazoa; Chordata; Mammalia; Rodentia; Bathyergidae
Description: lncRNA (ENSFDAG00000022154.1)
Source: RNAcentral